AAGGCUUUAGCUUAAUUAAAGUGUCUGUUUUGCAUACAGAAGAUGUGGGUCAGUGUCCUGCAAGUCUUA
This 69-nucleotide transfer RNA is filed under the name Lentipes kijimuna (Kijimuna goby). RNAcentral's name for it is "tRNA-Ala". It matches the Rfam family "tRNA". Rfam says of the family: Transfer RNA (tRNA) molecules are approximately 80 nucleotides in length. Their secondary structure includes four short double-helical elements and three loops (D, anti-codon, and T loops). The record is from RNAcentral. Lineage: Eukaryota; Metazoa; Chordata; Actinopteri; Gobiiformes; Gobiidae.